This 492-nucleotide ribosomal RNA is filed under the name uncultured bacterium. Its description in RNAcentral is "partial 16S ribosomal RNA". It matches the Rfam family "Bacterial small subunit ribosomal RNA", at positions 28 to 507 of the family's 1533-position model. The record is from RNAcentral.
GAUGAACGCUAGCUACAGGCUUAACACAUGCAAGUCGAGGGGAAACGGCAUUGAGUGCUUGCACUCUUUGGACGUCGACCGGCGCACGGGUGAGUAACGCGUAUCCAACCUUCCCAUUACUUUGGGAUAACCUGCCGAAAGUCAGACUAAUACCGCAUAGUCUUCGAUGACGGCAUCAGAUUUGAAGUAAAGAUUUAUCGGUAAUGGAGGGGGAUGCGUCUGAUUAGCUUGUGGGCGGGGUAACGGCCAACCAAGGCUACGAUCAGUAGGGGUUCUGAGAGGAAGGUACACCAGAAUGGAACUGAGACACGGUCCAAAAUGCUACGGGAGGCAGCAGUGAGGAAUAUUAGUCAAUGGACGGAAGUCUGAACCAGCCAAGUAGCGUGAAGGAUGACGGCCAUAUGGGUUGUAAACUGCUUUUGUAUGGGGAUAAAGUUAGGGACGUGUCCCUAUUUGCAGGUACCAUACGAAUAAGGACCGGCUAAUUCCGUG